CCUACGGGAGGCAGCAGUGAGGAAUAUUGGUCAAUGGACGCAAGUCUGAACCAGCCAUGCCGCGUGCAGGAAGACGGCUCUAUGAGUUGUAAACUGCUUUUGUACGAGGGUAAACGCAGAUACGCGUAUCUGUCUGAAAGUAUCGUACGAAUAAGGAUCGGCUAACUCCGUGCCAGCCGCCGCGGUAAUACGGAGGAUUCAAGCGUUAUCCGGAUUUAUUGGGUUUAAAGGGUGGUUAGGCUGUCGGAUAAGUUAGAGGUGAAAUCCCGAGGCUCAACUUCGGAAUUGCCUCUGAUACUGUUCGGCUAGAGAGUAGUUGCGGUAGGCGGAAUGUAUGGUGUAGCGGUGAAAUGCUUAGAGAUCAUACAGAACACCGAUUGCGAAGGCAGCUUACCAAGCUACUUCUGACGUUGAGGCACGAAAGCGUGGGGAGCAAACAGGAUUAGAUACCCCAGUAGUC
Molecule: ribosomal RNA, 460 nt
Filed under: uncultured bacterium
Lineage: Bacteria
Description: partial 16S ribosomal RNA
Rfam family: Bacterial small subunit ribosomal RNA
Source: RNAcentral